This 514-nucleotide ribosomal RNA is filed under the name uncultured Actinomycetes bacterium. Its description in RNAcentral is "SSU rRNA". It matches the Rfam family "Bacterial small subunit ribosomal RNA", at positions 242 to 748 of the family's 1533-position model. The record is from RNAcentral. Lineage: Bacteria; Bacillati; Actinomycetota; Actinomycetes.
CAGCUUGUUGGCGGGGUAAUGGCCCACCAAGGCGACGAUCCGUAGCUGGUCUGAGAGGACGAUCAGCCACACUGGGACUGAGACACGGCCCAGACUCCUACGGGAGGCAGCAGUGGGGAAUCUUGCGCAAAUGCGGGAAACCGUGACGCAGCGACGCCGCGUGGGGGAAGAAGGCCUUCGGGUUGUAAACCUCUUUCAGGAGGGACGAAGCUACUCGGGUGAAUAGCCCAGAGGGUGACGGUACCUUCAGAAGAAGCCCCGGCUAACUACGUGCCAGCAGCCGCGGUAAUACGUAGGGGGCAAGCGUUGUCCGGAUUUAUUGGGCGUAAAGAGCGUGUAGGCGGCUUGGUAGGUCUGCUGUGAAAACUCGAGGCUCAACCUCGAGCUGUCGGCGGAAACCACUUGGCUAGAGUCCGGAAGAGGAGAGUGGAAUUCCUGGUGUAGCGGUGAAAUGCGCAGAUAUCAGGAAGAACACCUAUGGCGAAGGCAGCUCUCUGGGACGGUACUGACGCUG